GAUGAACGCUGGCGGCGUGCUUAAUACAUGCAAGUCGAGCGAAAGGACGCUGCGCUUGUUGCGCUCUUGUUAGCGGCGGAGGUGUGUGACACGCGAGGAUAACCCCCCUGUAAUUCGGGGAUCACUAGGGGAAAGCGUAGCUAAUCCGGUAUAAUAUUUUGAACCGUGUGGGUCAAAAGUGAGAGACGGUCUUGCUGUCACUUCUCGAUGGAUCUGGGCUGCAUGAGCUAGUUGGUAAGGUAACAGGUUACCAAGGCAAGGAGGCGUAUCCGAGCUGAGAGGGUGAUCGGCCACACUGGAACUGAGACACGGUCCAGACUCCUACGGGAGGCAGCAGUAGGGAAUCUUCCGCAAUGGUCGAAAGCCUGACGGAGCAACGCCGCGUGAGUGAUGAAGGUCUUCGGAUCGUAAAACUCUGUUAUUAGGGAAGAACAUAUGUGUAAGUAACUGUGCACAUCUUGACGGUACCUAAUCAGAAAGCCACGGCUAACUACGUG
RNAcentral lists this ribosomal RNA (497 nucleotides) under uncultured bacterium. RNAcentral describes it as "partial 16S ribosomal RNA". It matches the Rfam family "Bacterial small subunit ribosomal RNA", at positions 28 to 507 of the family's 1533-position model. The record is from RNAcentral.